UACGUAGGGGCCUAGCGUUGUCCGGAUUUAUUGGGCGUAACGAGCGUGUAGGCGGCUCGAUAAGUCUGCUGUGAAAGUCCAGGGCUCAACCCUGGAAGGCCGGUGGAAACUGUCGGGCUAGAGUCCGGAAGAGGCGAGUGGAAUUCCCGGUGUAGCGGUGAAAUGCGCAGAUAUCGGGAGGAACACCAAUGGCGAAGGCAGCUCGCUGGGACGUUACUGACGCUGAGACGCGAAAGCGUGGGGAGCAAACAGG
RNAcentral lists this ribosomal RNA (253 nucleotides) under uncultured bacterium. RNAcentral describes it as "partial 16S ribosomal RNA". It matches the Rfam family "Bacterial small subunit ribosomal RNA", at positions 524 to 776 of the family's 1533-position model. The record is from RNAcentral.